UUGUAGCCGUAAGCCCUGCUUCCCAGGCACAUUUAGUGUAUUUAAGUUUUUAGUUAAUCUAUGUCAUUAAGUCCUUGGGUAGCCCAAGAGUUGUGCGGGUACCCAGGCAGCUAUUCUGUCUAGUUAAAGCUCUUGUGAGCUGUAUGUAAUCAAUGCUAUGUCUGCCUUUCCCUAUAUAUAUUGAAGGAGAUGCCUGGGGUCAGUUGUCUCAAGGCUAAUCAUUUUCUCUGUUACCUCCAACAUUUGGUA
This 249-nucleotide long non-coding RNA is filed under the name Sorghum bicolor (sorghum). RNAcentral describes it as "long non-coding RNA (SBIC_LNC000846)". The record is from RNAcentral. Lineage: Eukaryota; Viridiplantae; Streptophyta; Magnoliopsida; Poales; Poaceae.